Non-coding RNA from Ictidomys tridecemlineatus (thirteen-lined ground squirrel), 287 nucleotides. The record is from Rfam. Lineage: Eukaryota; Metazoa; Chordata; Mammalia; Rodentia; Sciuridae.
GCCGGUCGUGGUGGUGCGAGCCUGUAGUCCCAGCUACUCAGGAGGCUGAGGCAGGAGGAUUCCUUGAGCCCAGGAGUUCUGGGCUAUAGUGCAGCUAUGCCGAUCGGGUGUCAGCACUGAGUUCUGCAUCAAUAUGGUGACCUCCUAGGAGCGGAGGGGCCACCAGGUUGCCUAAGGAGGGGUGAACCGGCCCAGAUCGGAAAUGGAGCUGAUCAAAUGAUGCUGGAGACUUUUGUAAUCCUCUCAUUGUGGGCUUUGAGUGGCUCCUUUUGAUUUUUUUUUUUCUU